Molecule: ribosomal RNA, 425 nt
Filed under: uncultured prokaryote
Description: bacterial SSU rRNA
Rfam family: Bacterial small subunit ribosomal RNA
Source: RNAcentral
UGGGGAAUCUUGCGCAAUGGGCGAAAGCCUGACGCAGCAACGCCGCGUGGGGGAUGAAGGCUCUCGGGUUGUAAACCCCUUUCAGCAGGGACGAAAAUGACGGUACCUGCAGAAGAAGCCCCGGCCAACUACGUGCCAGCAGCCGCGGUAACACGUAGGGGGCGAGCGUUGUCCGGAAUUAUUGGGCGUAAAGAGCUCGUAGGCAGUUCGGUAAGUCAGGCGCGAAAUUUUGGGGCUCAACCCCAAGACUGCGCCAGAUACUGCUGUGACUAGAGUCCGGUAGAGGAGUGUGGAAUUCCUGGUGUAGCGGUGAAAUGCGCAGAUAUCAGGAGGAACACCAGCGGCGAAGGCGGCACUCUGGGCCGGCACUGACGCUGAGGAGCGAAAGCGUGGGUAGCAAACAGGAUUAGAUACCCCGGUAUUCC